Molecule: long non-coding RNA, 1596 nt
Filed under: Homo sapiens (human)
Lineage: Eukaryota; Metazoa; Chordata; Mammalia; Primates; Hominidae
Description: long non-coding RNA NONHSAT221518.1
Source: RNAcentral
GUCUUCAGAACCAGGCCAGGAGCCGCUGCGUUGGGGUUUAUGCUUGGAUGGUGGACGGCCGUGGAUCCUCGUUCCUAGCUGCCUGCCAGCGUCCUCGGCCCGGCCCUGAGGAUGGACCCAGGAGAUCCCGCUGGUGACCCUGCCGCUGGCGAGCGCCACCGCAUGGGCACCCACAGGCUUCUACAGCCUCUUCUCCACCUAAGCAGAGUGGGAUGUUUUCAAAGUGCAACACCCCAGCUAGCAGGGCCCCUGGAACAGCCUCGGCGCCCCCUGGAACACUAAUGGCCCUCCCUGGAACAGACACGGCACCCCCACCGAGAACAGCCUCGGUGCCCCCUGGAACAGCCUCAGCACCCCCUGGAACACUAAUGGCCCUCCCUGGAACAGACACGGCACCCCCACCGAGAACAGCCUCGGUGCCCCCUGGAACAGCCUCAGCACCCCCUGGAACACUAAUGGCCCUCCCUGGAACAGAUACGGCCCCCCGCCAGAACAGACAUGGUGCCCGCUGGAACACUAAUGGUCCUCCCUGGAACAGCCUCGGUGCCCCCUGGAACACUAAUGGCCCUCCCUGGAACAGACACGGCGCCCCCCCACAGAACAGCCUCGAUGCCCCCUGGAACAGCCUCGGUGCCCCCUGGAACAGCCUCGGUGCCCCCUGGAACAGCCUGGUGCUCCUGGAACAGACACAGCCCCCCCAGAACAGACACAGCACCCCCUGGAACAGCCUGGCGCUUCCUGGAAUGGCCACAUCCCCCCAUCCUUUCUGUGCUGCUUUAGGCAUCUGCCCUUACAUGGUUCGUGUCCAGCUCUGUCAACAAGGCCAGCUCCACAAGAGGCCCCAGCUCAGCCCUCCCCAGUGGGCUCCCCUACUCAGGCUCUGGGUCAGCUUCUUCCCAGGAGGUGUCCUGGCCCCUGUGCUGGCCCCGCCUCGCUGCCUGGACACCUGUCCGUGCCACCCUGGUCACUGAGCAGGACAUCCGCGUCUGUGGCCCCUGGGACCCUGCCCCCGACAGCCAGGCCUGGGUUUGUCCUUUUAGGUAGAGUGCCUGGUCCAGGUCAUUGGAGGAGAGUCCACAUGGCCACCUCUGGCGUGUUCUAGAGAGGCCCUCCCGCGCUGGGUCAGGAGGCAUCAUCGGGACAGGAGAAGGGGGCUGAGCUCCUGUUCCUCUCUCCCUCCCCCGAGGCCAAGAAACAUUCCCAUCCGAAUGUCCACUGCGCUCACAGAUUCCUUUCCUCCUAAAACUUCAGCCUUGGCCAGGCUCACGGCCAGGAUUAUGGUGGCUCACGCCUGUAAUCCCAGUACUGUGGGAGGCCGAGGCAGGAGGAUCACGAGGUCAGAAGAUCGAGACCAUCCUGGCCAACAUGGUGAAACCCCGUCUCUACUAAAAAUACAAAAAUUAGCUGGACAUGGUGGCGGGCGCCUGUAUUCCCAGCUACUGGGGAGGCUGAGGCAGGAGAAUGGCUUGGAGGCAGUAGAACUGCUUGAACCCUGGAGGCGGAGGUUACAGUUAUCCGAGGUUGUGUCAUUGCACUCCAGCCUGGGGAACAGAGCGAGACUCCAUCUCAAAAAAAAUAAAAAACUUCAGCUUUUGC